AAUUAAAUUAUUAUUUAUAUAAUUGUUGUUUAUUAAAAAUAGUUAAAAAUAAAAAUUUUAAUUUUUAUUAUAUUAAGGGAAAAAAUAAUAUUUAUUAUAGGGUAAUAGUAUUGUGAAAGAAAUAAUUAUAAUUAUAAAAAAGAAGAAUUUAAUUUUUGUACCUUGUGUAUCAGGGUUUAUUAAAAAUUAUUGAAGAUUCAUAAUUCUCGAAUUUAAAAGAGCUAUAUUAUUAUAUAUUUUAUUGUAAAAUAAAUAUUUUAAAUAGAUUUUAUAGAUGUGAAAUGCUAUUCGUUUUUAAAUAUAUCUAGUUUUUUAAGAAAAAAAUUAAAUUUUAUUUUUAUUUUAUUAUUAUAUUAAUUAUUUAAUUUAAUAAUAAUAAAAUUUUAUAAAUUAAGGGAUGAGCUUUAAUUUAUAUUUAUAUAAUAUUUUUAUAAAUUUAAUUUAAUAGAAUUAGAAGUUUUUAUUUUUAUAGUGUUUUAUUACUAAAUUAAAAUUAAUAUAAUUUAUAUUUAAAAUAUUUAUGUUUUAUAUUAAGAUAUAGUAUUUAAUAAAAAAAUUUUAGUGAUAAUGAUGGAAUUAGUAUAAAUUUUUUUAAUUAGUUAAUAUUUUUAAAAGAUUAAUAAAAGGAAUUAGGCAAAAUAAUUUUCACCUGUUUAUUAAAAACAUGUCCUUUUGAAAUUAAUUUAAGGUCUAACCUGCCCUAUGAAUAUUAAAUGGCCGCGGUAAUUUGACCGUGCAAAGGUAGCAUAAUCAUUAGUUUUUUAAUUGAAAGCUGGAAUGAAAGGUUUGAUGAGAAAUUAACUGUCUCUUAUUAAAUUAUUAGAACUUUAUUUUUAAGUUAAAAAGCUUAAAUAUUUAUAGAAGACGAGAAGACCCUAUAGAAUUUUAUAUAUUUAAUUAUUAUUUAUUUUGAGAUUUAAAUUAUUUAAUAAAAAUUAUAUUUAAUUGGGGUGAUUGAAAAAUUGAGUAAACUUUUUUUGUAUUUAAACAUUAAUAUAUGAAUAAUUGAUCCUUUUUAGAUUAUAAGAAUAAAUUACCUUAGGGAUAACAGCGUUAUUUUUUUUAGAGUUCUUAUUAAAAAAAAAGAUUGCGACCUCGAUGUUGGAUUAAAGUUAAAAUUUGGUGCAGAAGCUAAAUGUUUAAGUCUGUUCGACUUUUAAAACUUUACAUGAUCUGAGUUUAAACCGGUGUGAGCCAGGUUGGUUUCUAUCUCUAUAAAUUUAUAAUAUUUUAGUACGAAAGGACCAAAUAUUAAUUUAAUAAAUUUAUUUAGAAUAAUACUA
RNAcentral lists this ribosomal RNA (1283 nucleotides) under Hylurgus micklitzi. RNAcentral describes it as "16S ribosomal RNA". The record is from RNAcentral. Lineage: Eukaryota; Metazoa; Arthropoda; Insecta; Coleoptera; Curculionidae.